GCUGUUGACUGGUCCGGUGAAGUCGCUGUAGAGGUCGCUGCGGCAGCCUUGGCAAGCGAGUCAGCGACGACGGUGGCACGCGACAUGGCUGAGUGCAGAGCGAGGAACUGCUCCACGGCAAGCUGCGGGUUCUGCUCCUCUGCCGUCGAGCUCACCUCGGCAUACGAGCUGCUCAGACCAACAAACAACAGUGAAGGAAACAUUAUGGUCCAUGCAGAUGCAGGUACCCAUGGCGGGGAGGAUGAUAUAUUGAGACGUGGCAAGCCAAGUAAUAAUAAACGUGGAGUCAGAUGAGAUGUGCUCACUGUCAACUGGCCGAAGCCGAUGCAUGCAUGCAGGUGCAGGUGCAUCCAGAUCAUCACAGAGGUUGCACAGGAUGUCGGCGCCAACGUGGGCAGACCAGAAGAGCUUCAUGGCCGGCCCAUCUCACAGGAUGACAAAUCAGCAUCACCGUGCUGGAGACAACGAUGCCCAGAUUUAUCUGAUCUGUGGGAAUAGUUUCUUCACUUGUGCCAUGGCAACCGAGGCCAAUGGAAUCACUCGGUGAUUACCACUGCAAAAUUAUCGUGACUAUCACGGAGUACGAAAUUCCUACAACUACAAGAGAGCUGCACGCACGGAUCUGUGUACUGGUAGAUCUUACGAAAUUCCUGCGUCGGCCCCAUGGUCAGUCGGCAGCUGGGCCUGGGCACACUCAUCACUGGACUUAGAUCGCGCUACACCGCUGUACAUCUCACAUGUGUGUGGGGGCAUAUGGUUUCUUCCCGGUGACCACAGUGUCAUCUGCAAACAUAUGGGCCAUGCGGAGUUGCAGACAGAGUAGCCCAAUCUUUUCCGUCCCAUGAUGCAUGGCCGCAUGAUAACUGUUCCUGCUGCGGCUUUCCGUUUUUUCUGUCUGAACGUGAAAUGCAGAGGCGCAGAUGUACCUGUACCGCUAUAUUCCCUCUUUGAACUUAUUGGCUUCACAUGAAAUAAGUACUUCUGUUGGUCGCCAAAUCCUUUUUAG
Triticum aestivum (bread wheat) is the source of this 1006-nucleotide long non-coding RNA. RefSeq lists it as uncharacterized. The record is from RefSeq and is a predicted model, not a curated record. Lineage: Eukaryota; Viridiplantae; Streptophyta; Magnoliopsida; Poales; Poaceae. The transcript has 3 exons.